UAGGGAAUAUUGGACAAUGGGGGCAACCCUGAUCCAGCCAUGCCGCGUGAGUGAAGAAGGCCCUCGGGUUGUAAAGCUCUUUUGUCCGGAAAGAAAAGCAUUCGGUGAAUACCCGGAUGUUCUGACGGUACCGGAAGAAUCAGCACCGGCUAACUUCGUGCCAGCAGCCGCGGUAAUACGAAGGGUGCAAGCGUUACUCGGAAUUACUGGGCGUAAAGCGUGCGUAGGUGGUUGUAUAAGUCUGAUGUGAAAGCCCUGGGCUCAACCUGGGAAUGGCAUGGGAAACUGGGCAGCUAGAGUGCGGUAGAGGGUAGUGGAAUUCCAGGUGUAGCAGUGAAAUGCGUAGAGAUCGGGAGGAACAUCUGUGGCGAAGGCGACUGCCUGGACCAGCACUGACGCUGAGGCACGAAAGCGUGGGGAGCAAACA
RNAcentral lists this ribosomal RNA (427 nucleotides) under uncultured bacterium. Its description in RNAcentral is "bacterial SSU rRNA". It matches the Rfam family "Bacterial small subunit ribosomal RNA", at positions 355 to 774 of the family's 1533-position model. The record is from RNAcentral.